UAAAAGUUUACAUGUGUUGUAUUUCUUUUGUGAUGGGAUUUUCUUCUUUGACGGCGCUGGAGAUUUUGUUGACUUCUUUAGCUACUCGACUAAGUUUGCAUUGAAAGUAGAUGGUAUACUUUAGCUGUGAUUGGAGAAAAACCGAAUCAGAUACUUGGUUAAAGCCUUACCAGAAGGUCAAAA
This is a long non-coding RNA of Xenia sp. Carnegie-2017, 183 nucleotides long. RefSeq lists it as uncharacterized. The record is from RefSeq and is a predicted model, not a curated record. The transcript is spliced from 2 exons. Lineage: Eukaryota; Metazoa; Cnidaria; Anthozoa; Malacalcyonacea; Xeniidae.